AAAUUGAAGAGUUUGAUCAUGGCUCAGAUUGAACGCUGGCGGCAGGCCUAACACAUGCAAGUCGAACGGUAACAGAAAGCAGCUUGCUGCUUUGCUGACGAGUGGCGGACGGGUGAGUAAUGUCUGGGAAACUGCCCGAUGGAGGGGGAUAACUACUGGAAACGGUAGCUAAUACCGCAUAACGUCGCAAGACCAAAGAGGGGGACCUUCGGGCCUCUUGCCAUCGGAGGUGCCCAGAUGGGAUUAGCUCGUAGGUGGGGUAACGGCUCACCUAGG
Molecule: ribosomal RNA, 276 nt
Filed under: Escherichia coli
Lineage: Bacteria; Pseudomonadati; Pseudomonadota; Gammaproteobacteria; Enterobacterales; Enterobacteriaceae
Description: partial 16S ribosomal RNA
Rfam family: Bacterial small subunit ribosomal RNA
Source: RNAcentral